AACGAACGCUGGCGGCAGGCCUAACACAUGCAAGUCGAGCGGACCGUUCGGGGUCAGCGGCGGACGGGUGAGUAACGCGUGGGAAUAUGCCCUUCUCUACGGAAUAGUCCUGGGAAACUGGGGGUAAUACCGUAUACGCUCUUUGGGGGAAAGAUUUAUCGGGGAAGGAUUAGCCCGCGUUGGAUUAGGUAGUUGGUGGGGUAAUGGCCUACCAAGCCGACGAUCCAUAGCUGGUUUGAGAGGAUGAUCAGCCACACUGGGACUGAGACACGGCCCAGACUCCUACGCGAGGCAGCAGUAGGGAAUCUUAGACAAUGGGGGCAACCCUGAUCUAGCCAUGCCGCGUGAGUCAUGAAGGCCUUAGGGUUGUAAAGCUCUUUCAGCUGGGAAGAUAAUGACGGUACCAGCAGAAGAAGCCCCGGCUAACUCCGUG
This 433-nucleotide ribosomal RNA is filed under the name uncultured bacterium. RNAcentral describes it as "partial 16S ribosomal RNA". It matches the Rfam family "Bacterial small subunit ribosomal RNA", at positions 29 to 507 of the family's 1533-position model. The record is from RNAcentral.